RNAcentral lists this ribosomal RNA (318 nucleotides) under Staphylococcus aureus. RNAcentral's name for it is "partial 23S ribosomal RNA". It matches the Rfam family "Bacterial large subunit ribosomal RNA", at positions 545 to 865 of the family's 2925-position model. The record is from RNAcentral. Lineage: Bacteria; Bacillati; Bacillota; Bacilli; Caryophanales; Staphylococcaceae.
AGAACCUGAAACCGUGUGCUUACAAGUAGUCAGAGCCCGUUAAUGGGUGAUGGCGUGCCUUUUGUAGAAUGAACCGGCGAGUUACGAUUUGAUGCAAGGUUAAGCAGUAAAUGUGGAGCCGUAGCGAAAGCGAGUCUGAAUAGGGCGUUUAGUAUUUGGUCGUAGACCCGAAACCAGGUGAUCUACCCUUGGUCAGGUUGAAGUUCAGGUAACACUGAAUGGAGGACCGAACCGACUUACGUUGAAAAGUGAGCGGAUGAACUGAGGGUAGCGGAGAAAUUCCAAUCGAACCUGGAGAUAGCUGGUUCUCUCCGAAAU